Molecule: long non-coding RNA, 1012 nt
Organism: Chelonia mydas (Green sea turtle)
Lineage: Eukaryota; Metazoa; Chordata; Testudines; Cheloniidae
Exons: 2
Source: RefSeq, a predicted model, not a curated record
CCAAGCAGCAGCUUACAUGCCGGAGGCUGUGCGUGAACAGCCCAGGACUGGGGGUUCUCACAGCAGAGCAGGGUCAGGCUGGCUCCCAGAGUCUAGGAUUGGAGUGACCUAGCAGAUCACCGGUUUAGCUAACACCAGAAGAGAAUGUCACCCUUCUAUGGAUCCUUCACCUGCAGCCUGAAUUUCCUUUCCAGCACUCACUGCAAAGCACCCCCUCCAAUUGCUUGUCAGCUACUGCAGUAAUCCAGAGGGGCUGUGGCAGUAACUGGCCCAAGAUUCAGCAACAGGCACAGCCAGUAAAAGGAGGGACCACUGAGCCACUUGGAGAUCAAGCAUCCAUCUUUACCAAAGAACUCAAUGAGUUCUUCAAGGAAAAGCUGAUGGUUUCACAAACCCAGGAGAUUUUUUUAUUACAUAGCAAUCAAGACAAGCUCUGGGGAGAACCACUGUCCUAAUCAUUCUUGCCUCCUCUCAUCACUCCUCUAAUUCUGCAAUACCUCUUUUGGCAGGGGGGUGACCAGAUGCACUUUGGACUUCUGCUUUCUGUGUGACAAGAACCAGGGGAGGGGUGAAGAGACACCCCGAACACAUUAUAAAGUGCCCUUUCUCCAAAAAGCCAGCUGUAGGUCUCCCAAGGGCUUGCAGGUCCCUGUGUUGAAGCACAGUAAGGACACAUUGAGGGACUGAGAUUGGAAUAAACAAGGAGCCAUCUGCUACACAUUUUAGAAAGUCAAUCAUUUAUAAAUUGAUGGUGGUUUUUCCAUCUAUAAACAGCACAAAGGAAAAGCACAGACUUCACAAGACAGAAUAAUCACUUCUACAGCCAUUAAACUGCUUUAGCUACCCAGAUACAGGGUUAAUGAAAGUGUUCUAUUCACUGACACUGUACAGCUAAUUUAGAACAAGUACUGAAAAACAGUUCUGGGCUCCUGAACUGAAAAUUAUACUCAGCAUAUUUGGACUCAUAAAACCAUGAACACAACAGCCCUUCAUUUAAGAAGCAUUCUCCAAA